Molecule: ribosomal RNA, 447 nt
Filed under: uncultured soil bacterium
Lineage: Bacteria
Description: bacterial SSU rRNA
Rfam family: Bacterial small subunit ribosomal RNA
Source: RNAcentral
AGAACGAACGCUGGCGGCAUGCCUAACACAUGCAAGUCGAACGAGUGCCUUCGGGUGCUAGUGGCGCACGGGUGCGUAACGCGUGGGAAUCUGCCUUUCGGUACGGAAUAACUCAGGGAAACUUGUGCUAAUACCGUAUGACGUCGCGAGACCAAAGAUUUAUCGCCGAAAGAUGAGCCCGCGUAGGAUUAGCUAGUUGGUGGGGUAAAGGCCUACCAAGGCGACGAUCCUUAGCUGGUCUGAGAGGAUGAUCAGCCACACUGGGACUGAGACACGGCCCAGACUCCUACGGGAGGCAGCAGUGGGGAAUAUUGGACAAUGGGCGAAAGCCUGAUCCAGCAAUGCCGCGUGAGUGAUGAAGGCCUUAGGUUGUAAAGCUCGUUUUACCCGGGAUGAUAAUGACAGUACCGGAGAAUAAGCCCCGCUAACUCCGCGCCAGCAGCCGAC